GCGAGUUUUAACUGAGCGUUCAGUUACUUGACGUAGACCCGAAACCGGGCGACCUACCCAUGAGCAGGAUGAAGCGAAAGUAAAAUUUCGUGGAGGUCCGAACCCACGAGCGUUGAAAAGCUCGGGGAUGACUUGUGGGUAGCGGUGAAAUUCCAAUCGAGCCCGGAGAUAGCUGGUUCUCCCCGAAAUAGCUUUAGGGCUAGCCUCAAGGUGAGAGAUACGGAGGUAGAGCACUGAAUGUCCUAGGGGGUAUUGCACCUACCGAAGACUAUCAAACUCCGAAUGCCGUCAUCUUAUACUUGGGAGUCAGACUGUGGGUGAUAAGAUUCAUAGUCGAAAGGGCAACAGCCCAGAUCGUCAGCUAAGGUCCCUAAAUGUAAGUUAAGUGGUAAAGGAUGUGGGAUUGCACAGACAACCAGGAUGUUGGCUUAGAAGCAGCCACUCAUUCAAAGAGUGCGUAAUAGCUCACUGGUCGAGUGAUCCUGCGCCGAAGAUUUCCGGGGCUAAAACUUACUACCGAAGCUACGGCAUCAGUAAUGAUGGGUAGGGGAGCUUCCCAUACGGGUUGAAGCAUGACCGUAAGGACAUGUGGACAGUAUGGGAGUGAGAAUGUUGGC
RNAcentral lists this ribosomal RNA (617 nucleotides) under Clostridioides difficile. RNAcentral's name for it is "partial 23S ribosomal RNA". It matches the Rfam family "Bacterial large subunit ribosomal RNA", at positions 677 to 1301 of the family's 2925-position model. Lineage: Bacteria; Bacillati; Bacillota; Clostridia; Peptostreptococcales; Peptostreptococcaceae. The record is from RNAcentral.